Molecule: small RNA, 119 nt
Filed under: Candidatus Magasanikiibacteriota
Lineage: Bacteria
Source: RNAcentral
AUUUAAUUAUAUAUCUGUGGAAGUGAGGUUUGAUUCCUCCACUGUGCCGCAACGGUAAACCCAUGCAAUUGGCUUGGGAAGUCCGAUCUUCAGAUAUAGGCCCUAUAAACAUAGGGUUC